Long non-coding RNA from Zingiber officinale, 1251 nucleotides. RefSeq lists it as uncharacterized. The record is from RefSeq and is a predicted model, not a curated record. The transcript is spliced from 3 exons. Lineage: Eukaryota; Viridiplantae; Streptophyta; Magnoliopsida; Zingiberales; Zingiberaceae.
AACAAAUGAAAUCCACGUGAAUAUCUCUUCGCACAGGGCAAAGGUUCGAAGCUAGGGCACGCCGCGCCGUCCUCCUCCUGUUUUCGUUGGCUUCCUUCCUCCUCGCGCCCCUCGCCUCCCCUCGGCCGCGAAUCGUCCAAGAAAGACUAGGGCAGAGCUGAACUCGUCGCCCUGACGCCGUCCUCGCCGCGACAAGUUCUGCAAGCCAAAGGGACGAAGCUAGGGCACGCCGUCCUCGCCGCGCCUCUUCCUUGGAGCUAGGGCACGAAGCUAGGGCGUUCUCUCUCGGAAAACCUCCGACGCGAAGCUAGGACACGCAGCUUGUCCAGAUCCUGCGCCUCACAUCCUCGCUCGACCACAAAAUUGCAUCUCGUGCCCCUCACCGCCUCGCGCGACCACCAACCCCUCUCGAUCAGUUCAACCAUUCAAGAAAUAAAAAGAGCAAUAGCUGAGAAGAAUUCUGUUGUGACAAAAUCUAAGGAUGAUGCAGCUGAUUUAAAAAAGAAAUUGAAAAAGCUUGAUAAAGAAUUGGAAGAGUCAGAGAGAGAAUAUCAGUUAUCUUCUGGGUGUUCAUGCUGGCAAGAGCAGUAGAGAUGAUGAGAAGUGUCUUGAAGAUCAACAAAGGGAUGUCAAAACUGCUGUUGGUGAUGUUGAAUCAGAAUUGAAACAAUUGAAGACUAAAAUUUUCCAUUCUGAAGAUGAACUAAAAGAAAAGAGGGGUCAGCCAUUGGCAUAACGUGGUGAAGCCGCUGCUGUGAAAAAUGAGUUAAAUAAUCAGAAAAAGGAUUUGGAGGCAAUUAGAUUAGCUACAGAAUCAAUUUCAUAUGAAGAAGGCCAGUUGGAAGCCCAACACAAGGUCUACACAGACCUGACAGUCCUCAUAUUAAAUUGCCUCUGUCCUGAAAAUUAACGUGUCCUCGUGUCUCCUCAUCGGAUGAUUAUAACAUUCUCAUGAUGUACACUACAGUUUGGAAAUGUGAUUUAGCUCGUCUAAUUGGUGAGGAGACACAGGACACAUCAUUUUUGGAACAGAGAAUCGCAUCUAAACAGGAUGAGCGCAACAAUGAAGAUAGGGAAGCCGGUGGAUCUGCUCGCGUACCGAGAAAGCAGGUGGCGGCGAGCCGCAGCGAUCAGCGCUGGAGGAGCCCACGGCGCCGAAAGAAACAACGGAAGAGAACAUUAAUUAUUGUAUUAAUAAUAUCUUAAAUAAUAUUGAUUAAAUUAAAUAUUUAAACUGUUAAAAAAAUAAAA